GAUGAACGCUGGCGGCGUGCCUAAUACAUGCAAGUCGAGCGAACAGACGAGGAGCUUGCUCCUCUGACGUUAGCGGCGGACCGGUGAGUAACACGUGGAUAACCUACCUAUAAGACUGGGAUAACUUCGGGAAACCGGAGCUAAUCCCGGAUAAUAUAUUGAACCGCAUGGUUCAAUAGUGAAAGACGGUUUUGCUGUCACUUAUAGAUGGAUCCGCGCCGCAUUAGCUAGUUGGUAAGGUAACGGCUUACCAAGGCAACGAUGCGUAGACGACCUGAGAGGGUGAUCGGCCACACGGGAACUGAAACACGGUCCAGACGCCUACGGGAGGCAGCAGUAGGGAAUCUGCCGCAAUGGGCGAGAGCCUUACGGAGCAACGGCGCGUGAGUGAUGAAGGUCUUCGGAUCGUAAAACUCUGUUAUUAGUUAAGAACAAAUGUGUAAGUAACUAUGCACGUCUUGACGGUACUUAAUCAGAAAGCCACGGCUAACUACGUG
RNAcentral lists this ribosomal RNA (497 nucleotides) under uncultured bacterium. RNAcentral's name for it is "partial 16S ribosomal RNA". It matches the Rfam family "Bacterial small subunit ribosomal RNA", at positions 28 to 507 of the family's 1533-position model. The record is from RNAcentral.